This 253-nucleotide ribosomal RNA is filed under the name uncultured bacterium. RNAcentral's name for it is "partial 16S ribosomal RNA". It matches the Rfam family "Bacterial small subunit ribosomal RNA", at positions 524 to 776 of the family's 1533-position model. The record is from RNAcentral.
UACGUAGGUGGCAAGCGUUAUCCGGAUUUAUUGGGCGUAAAGAGAACGCAGUCGGUCUUUUAAGUCUGAUGUGAAAGCCUUCGGCUUAACCGGAGUAGUGCAUUGGAAACUGGGAGACUUGAGUGCAGAAGAGGAGAGUGGAACUCCAUGUGUAGCGGUGAAAUGCGUAGAUAUAUGGAAGAACACCAGUGGCGAAAGCGGCUCUCUGGUCUGUAACUGACGCUGAGGUUCGAAAGCGUGGGUAGCAAACAGG